Molecule: ribosomal RNA, 201 nt
Filed under: uncultured bacterium
Lineage: Bacteria
Description: partial 16S ribosomal RNA
Rfam family: Bacterial small subunit ribosomal RNA
Source: RNAcentral
ACGCUCGACACCUACGGGAGUCAGCAGUUGGGAAUAUUGGACAAUGGAGGAAACUCUGAUCCAGUGACGCCGCGUGAAGGAAGAAGGUCUUCGGAUUGUAAACUUAUUUUGUCAGGGAAGAAAAAAAUGACUGUACCUGAAGAAAAAGCACCGGCUAACUACGUGCCAGCAGCCGCGGUAAUCUGAGCGGGCUGGCAAGGC